Molecule: ribosomal RNA, 254 nt
Filed under: uncultured bacterium
Lineage: Bacteria
Description: partial 16S ribosomal RNA
Rfam family: Bacterial small subunit ribosomal RNA
Source: RNAcentral
UACAGAGGGUGCGAGCGUUGUUCGGAAUUAUUGGGCGUAAAGAGCUCGUAGGCGGCUCGUCGCGUCGACCGUGAAAACCCGCAGCUUAACUGCGGGCUUGCGGUCGAUACGGGCAUCACUGGAGUUCGGCAGGGGAGACUGGAAUUCCUGGUGUAGCGGUGAAAUGCGCAGAUAUCAGGAGGAACACCGGUGGCGAAGGCGGGUCUCUGGGCCGAUACUGACGCUGAGGAGCGAAAGCGUGGGGAGCGAACAGG